GCAUAUAGGUCAAGUCUGCCGGGAGCCGAACCUCCCGGGUGAGGAAAGUCCGGGCACCAUAGGGCAGGGUGCCAGCUAACGGCUGGGCGGGGUAACCCGACGGAAAGUGCCACAGAGAAAAGACCGCCAGCGGCCAGGCCAAGGCCUGGUGCGGGCAAGGGUGAAACGGUGGGGUAAGAGCCCACCGCGCCUCCUGGAAACAGGGGCGGCACGGCAAACCCCACCCGGUGCAAGGCCCAGUAGAGGGGAAGGGCUUGCUGUCAUGCGUCACGCUUUAAGGUCAAUUUCCGUCACUUUCUAGGUCAAUUUGACCAAGUGCAAUCAUGUUCUCAGUCAGUAAGUUGAGCGUUUAUGCAACG
RNAcentral lists this RNase P RNA (359 nucleotides) under Thermus scotoductus. RNAcentral's name for it is "bacterial RNase P". The stretch from base 16 to 333 matches the Rfam family "Bacterial RNase P class A", at positions 20 to 307 of the family's 367-position model. From Rfam's summary of the family: Ribonuclease P (RNase P) is a ubiquitous endoribonuclease, found in archaea, bacteria and eukarya as well as chloroplasts and mitochondria. Its best characterised activity is the generation of mature 5'-ends of tRNAs by cleaving the 5'-leader elements of precursor-tRNAs. The record is from RNAcentral. Lineage: Bacteria; Thermotogati; Deinococcota; Deinococci; Thermales; Thermaceae.